UGCCCGAAAACUUGCGCCGGUAACGGGAAUGCAGUGCGGGCCCUCGCGGCCUUAUUCUGCGGCUAUCCCUGUAACUGUAAGCGGCGAGUUCGGCGUGCUGGCGGCCCUAUCGGAGCCGCAGCCACUGGGAGUGAUCCCGGGAAGGCGCAUGCCGGGCGGUGACCCGUGAGCCAGGAGACCGACCGACGCAUGUCGCUCUUG
RNAcentral lists this non-coding RNA (201 nucleotides) under Sphingomonas hengshuiensis. Lineage: Bacteria; Pseudomonadati; Pseudomonadota; Alphaproteobacteria; Sphingomonadales; Sphingomonadaceae. The record is from RNAcentral.